Salmo trutta (river trout) is the source of this 449-nucleotide long non-coding RNA. Lineage: Eukaryota; Metazoa; Chordata; Actinopteri; Salmoniformes; Salmonidae. The record is from Ensembl.
GGAGAGAGAGAAGGGCUGAUAACCAAGACAACGACACAAAGAUGGCGACAGAUUCCACUGCGGGACGCCAACAGGAGUCCAGAUUAACAGAUCGUCCUGCGGAGUACCAGAACCGUGUCCGUUACAACCGUUACAACGGGACGACGACCGGCCUGACACCACGACACCACCACCACCGACCCAUCAUCGCCACGGGCGGUAUGGAGAGAGGACCUAGCAGCAGCCAGGUGUGGAACCCCUCCUCUGUUUUCUGUAUGGACAGAGCAGAGCCCCCCCUGCUGACCUGGUGGUCCACCUGCAGGUCUGGGAUGGGGAGAGGGGGGAAACCCCAGUCCACUGGAGAGGAGUGGCACACCAUACAGGACGCUUGGGUGCAGCUGUUUCAAGGUAACGAUGAUUUACAUUUUUGCUAUAAUAGGCAUUUGUAAAACAUAGACCUAUUUGAAUAC